This 2109-nucleotide long non-coding RNA is filed under the name Bemisia tabaci. RNAcentral describes it as "lncRNA ENSSSA3NGG003006". Lineage: Eukaryota; Metazoa; Arthropoda; Insecta; Hemiptera; Aleyrodidae. The record is from RNAcentral.
UGAAGGACGUCGUUUUCUCGGUACUCUCAGCCCGAGUGAUAAGAAAAAACCGGAGAGAAGAACUCGCACAGCGUUCCUUACCCUCACCCGCGCUUUUUGGAGGUGAAGGAUUUUCCGCUGAAAACUAUAAAUAUCGUUUCAGUCAUUACUGAAUCACCAGUUUCAAUCGCUCUCUGCUCCCAUCGCAACCUAGUGCACAUACUGCAAACAAUGGCUAUCUUUGCGAAAAUUGCAAUUUUGGCAUUUGUGGCAGUGGCGGUAAGCGCCCUCCCCGCACCAGAGCCCGCCCCCGCUGCCGAGGCCCAGCCGGAGAAGGGACCAGAGGCGGAACCAGACGCGGAGUUGGUUAAGGUGCAGAACGGGAAGAUCGCCCCCGCAUCGGCGCAGGAGGACGACGAGACCCUUAAAACUGCCAACUCCUACGGCUUCGGAUAUGGCUAUCCCGGCGGCUACGGAUACACACCCUACUACGGCGCAGCUGGCUAUCCCUACCCCGGCGGAUAUGGAUAUGCAGGCUACGGAUACCCGUACUACGGUUACAAUCACUUCUAUGGACAUUACCCUUACGGUGGAUUCCAUGGUGCUUUUUACGGCUAAAUCACUGAUCUCUCUAUCGAUAACCAUCCAAUGUCUGCCAAAGCUUCUCACUGCAUCGUCACUUUUACUGAAAAUACUCCUAAUAUCUGCUUCAUUUAAAUGCAGAUUGAAAUGGAACAUUAGAAAUCUAAACUUUCAAUGUCAACAGUGCCUUGCCUUUGUUGUAUCAAUAUUUUGUAAAUAGCCCAUUUUUCAUGCAGAUUUGCUGAACUGAGCUAAACGCUUAUAAUAUGAUUCAAAAGAUUCUCGUUUUUUAAUGAAGGGUAUAUUGUGCAAUAAUUUAAAGUUUAAGAAUGAAAAUACUCAUCGGAACCUCCCGAGAUCGUAAAGUAUCUCUUAUUGAAACUUUUUACUUGCAAUUUUUAUUUUGUUUUUAGCUUAUCAAAGAUGUCAUUAAUAUUCUCGCCAAAUACACACAAAAUGAAUUUAGUUUAUUUAUCUCAGUCCAGCAAAUAUGUUCAUUAACACCUAAUCAUCAGCUCAUGUAACGUUUAAGUUAUACUUUUUUACUGUACAUUUUUUGUAGGAUUUUGAAAAUAAAAAAAACCUCAACUUGUGGUAAAUUUCUACUCCCUGAUUUUUCUUUCUUCAUUCUUGAAGUUCGUCUUAGUACAUUGAUAAAGCAGGUAUGUUCAAAGCGUCCACUUAAUGUGUUGAUUUAUUUACUGAAUUCGAUAUGCAUCGACAAAAACUUUUAGAGCAUAGCAUAUUAACAAUUUUUAUCAAUAUUUUUCAGCACUCUUAAUCAAACCAAGAAAGUCGUUUAUUUUUUUCUUUUUUAUUCAUUUUAAUUUUUAUUUAGAAAGGGGUAAAUUUAACCACUCUACAGUCAUUAAAAUAAUGAAACAAAGAAUGAGAGUAUGUAAAUUAGCAGAACGAAUAUAUUGAUUAAAUUCCACUCUCAUUCAAACAUCUGUUCAAAUGCCACUAAAAAUCAUUUUAACCAAAACUAAUGGUCAUCGGAGUAAAAAGUCAGUUCAUUUGAUGUUUUUAAAUAAUUGUCUUGGAAAAAAUAACGAUAAUCGGUUUGUCCUUUUCACAUUCAUUUUUCAGGACGGUAUAUUUGCCUCACAGAAUACACACAUGCAUUUUUUUCCGUAACAGCGAUUUGCAUGUCCAAUAAUAAUUUAGAUAGUUCUUACUUUUACUGUCCGCAAUAGUCAUAUAUUAACAUUGACAUUGUUGAACGACGUACUGAAAAAAUAAGGGCACUAACUUGAAAUUAAAAGUAUUUGAAAAAAAAAAUGCCUCGUAGGCACACAUUGAGAGACAAAUAUAAUUAUUUGUGUUGUUACACUCGAUAUUUUGGGGACACUUCAUGACAAUGCACCUCAGUGUAAACUUUUUAAUAACUUGUUUAUACACUUUCCUCAAACUAGUUAUCCAACUAGUUUCAUGGACUGGUGAUUGAAAACUUUUAAAAGAAAGAUUCCACUUGCAAAAGUGUUAAACCCCAGUUUAAUUUGAAAUGACUUGGAUAUUCGAUUAGUGUUUUGGGAUACCACUCGAUAC